CGUCUGUCUCAACCACUCACCUCGAGUUACAGAGCAAACGCAGCCAUGGACAAUAUGGAAAUGAAUGAACAAUAUGGAAAUGAAUGAGGUGGCUGUGGGCCAAUAAAACUUGACUUACAAGGACAGACAGGAGGCUGGCCUGAGCCUGAGUUUGUCAGUCCUUGGACAAGAAAUACGAGUAGAAGGCAGUGGGGUUCCACGUUGAGGCAAGAGAUGGCCAGAGCAUGCGACGUCCUGGAUCUGGAGCCCCCAGGGAAGAAAAAGAAAUGAAGAUUCAGGGCCCCACGCACGAAGAUUCCAACUUAGCACAUCCGAGGCAAGACCUGGAAUCCGAAUCUUCAUUAAGGGCCCUGGAUGAUUUUUGCAAAGUGUGGGAAAGUUUGCAUCUAUCCUUUCUUGGGUCUCAGAGGAACACUAGCUAAGAGAAAGCCUGGAUAGAGUGGAAGGAGCAAAGAAAGAGCAUUCAUCGAUCACUUAUUAAGUGUGAGGAGCUGUGUCCAUCAGCUGUGGGUGCUGAUAACAACCGCCGCCUGAAACAUUACUGAGCAUGGAUUCUUGCUAAUUUCUGUGCAUUGUCUCUCAUUCGCCCAACAACCC
Molecule: non-coding RNA, 597 nt
Organism: Vicugna pacos (alpaca)
Lineage: Eukaryota; Metazoa; Chordata; Mammalia; Artiodactyla; Camelidae
Source: RefSeq, a predicted model, not a curated record